Molecule: ribosomal RNA, 118 nt
Filed under: Diaphorina citri (Asian citrus psyllid)
Lineage: Eukaryota; Metazoa; Arthropoda; Insecta; Hemiptera; Psyllidae
Source: RNAcentral
GCCAGUGGUGAUAACACGUUAAAUGCACCAGUUCCCAGUGAAUCACUGAAGAUUAGUAAGGUUGCGCAUGUUUGGUAUCCGAAAAGUUGACCAUCUAGGCAUUCGCGUACUGCUGAUG